CCUACGGGUGGCAGCAGUGGGGAAUAUUGCACAAUGGGGGAAACCCUGAUGCAGCAACGCCGCGUGAGUGAAGAAGUAGUUCGGUAUGUAAAGCUCUAUCAGCAGGGAAGAAGGUGACGGUACCUGUGAAAGAAGCCCCGGCUAACUACGUGCCAGCAGCCGCGGUAAUACGAAGGGGGAAAGCGUUAUCCGGAUUUAAUGGGUGUAAAGGGAGCGUAGACGGUGGGACAAGUCUGAAGUGAAAGCCCGGGGCUCAACCCCGGGACUGCUUUGGAUACUGACUGACGGGAGUGCUGGAGAGGCGAGCAGAAUUCCUAGUGUAGCGGUGAAAUGCGUAGAUAUGAGGAAGAACACCAGUGGCGAAGGCGGCCUGCUGGACAGUAACUGACGUUCAGGCUCGAAAGCGUGGGGAGCAAACAGGAUUAGAUACCCGUGUAGUC
Molecule: ribosomal RNA, 440 nt
Filed under: uncultured bacterium
Lineage: Bacteria
Description: partial 16S ribosomal RNA
Rfam family: Bacterial small subunit ribosomal RNA
Source: RNAcentral